This 845-nucleotide long non-coding RNA is filed under the name Monodelphis domestica (gray short-tailed opossum). RNAcentral's name for it is "lncRNA (ENSMODG00000037756.1)". The record is from RNAcentral. Lineage: Eukaryota; Metazoa; Chordata; Mammalia; Didelphimorphia; Didelphidae.
GCCGCAGUCGGUGGUGCCGCCGCCGCCGCCGCCGCCGCCACGGGUCAGGCUCGCCUUCCUAGAGGCUCUGGGGACUUCCGGGGGAGCGCGUUACCCGGGCAACCGCCGCCGCCCCAGAGAGAGGACGCACCUGCUUCUAGCACGGGGUAGGGGACCCUUCUACCCUGACACCCCCUUCCCCUCCCUCCUAGUGGAGGAGCUGAGGCCAGAAGGAAUCUAAAGCGACCGCUUCCUCUCCCAGGAUUGGUUUCCCCGCUUUUUUCCUAGGUGGCGGGAGCGGGCAGAGGGAGCGUAGUACACGGCUUAGGCUUCCCCUUCCAAGAAUGACUGGGAGGACACCCAGCAGCCCCUGACGUCACCGCACCUGCCUCCUGGCCCCGCCCCCUCCGGUCUCUGCUACUUCUAUCUUCUAGCGGCCGCAUAAACCAGCUCUUCCGGGAGAAGAGGGGCAAGGAGUUGGACAGAUGAAGAUUAAAAAUUUCGGUGUUUGUGGAUUGUUUUCCUUCUUAAACAAAACUCCUGAGCUCGUGUUGGGUCGGCUUCUGACACAUACUAGCUCUAUGAUUCUGAUAAAUUACUUAACCUGUGUAUGUGGCCUGGCAAACUCCUUAAGAUUAACACUGGUAAGAUGCUGAAGACUAGAAAAGAGCACACGCUUAGAAUGCCUUUCUUUCAAAAAAGGAUAAUGAAUAUUGCCCCUGGAAAUACUCAUUAGGUAAACUUUUAUUCUUGGAAAAAUUCUGGACCUAUUGGCCUUGUAUAACUGAUUUUACUUUCUAAAGGCUAGUGUAAAAAUGCUGGAUCUUCUUGUUAAUUAUAAUAAAAUGGUUUUGGUUCACUGGUCA